This 486-nucleotide ribosomal RNA is filed under the name uncultured bacterium. Its description in RNAcentral is "partial 16S ribosomal RNA". It matches the Rfam family "Bacterial small subunit ribosomal RNA", at positions 28 to 507 of the family's 1533-position model. The record is from RNAcentral.
GAUGAACGCUGGCGGCGUGCCUAAUACAUGCAAGUCGAACGCUGGAAAUCUAGCUUGCUAGAUUGAAGGAGUGGCGAACGGGUGAGUAAUACAUAAGCAACCUACCCACGAAGACUGGGAUAAUCUCUGGAAGGGGGGACUAAUACCGGAUAGGUAAUCGGAAGGCAUCUUCUGAUUAUUAAAGGUUAAAAACACUGGUGGAUGGGCUUAUGGCGCAUUAGUUAGUUGGUGAGGUAACGGCCCACCAAGACGAUGAUGCGUAGCCGGCCUGAGAGGGUGAACGGCCACAUUGGGACUGAGACACGGCCCAGACUCCUACGGGAGGCAGCAGUAGGGAAUUUUAGGCAAUGGGGGAAACCCUGACCGAGCAACGCCGCGUGAGUGAUGACGGCCUUCGGGGUGUAAAGCUCUGUUGUAAGGGAAGAACGGUAGAUAGAGAAUAUCUAAAUGACGGUACCUUACCAGAAAGCCACGGCUAACUACGUG